UCGAGGGGCAGCAUGGUCUUAGCUUGCUAAGGCUGAUGGCGACCGGCGCACGGGUGAGUAACACGUAUCCAACCUGCCGUCUACUCUUGGCCAGCCCUCUGAAAGGAAGAUUAAUCCAGGAUGGCAUCAUGAGUUCACAUGUCCGCAUGAUUAAAGGUAUUUUCCGGUAGACGAUGGGGAUGCGUUCCAUUAGAUAGUAGGCGGGGUAACGGCCCACCUAGUCAACGAUGGAUAGGGGUUCUGAGAGGAAGGUCCCCCACAUUGGAACUGAGACACGGUCCAAACUCCUACGGGAGGCAGCAGUGAGGAAUAUUGGUCAAUGGGCGAUGGCCUGAACCAGCCAAGUAGCGUGAAGGAUGACUGCCCUAUGGGUUGUAAACUUCUUUUAUAAAGGAAUAAAGUCGGGUAUGCAUACCCGUUUGCAUGUACUUUAUGAAUAAGGAUCGGCUAACUCCGUGCCAGCAGCCGCGGUAAUACGGAGGAUCCGAGCGUUAUCCGGAUUUAUUGGGUUUAAAGGGAGCGUAGAUGGAUGUUUAAGUCAGUUGUGAAAGUUUGCGGCUCAACCGUAAAAUUGCAGUUGAUACUGGAUGUCUUGAGUGCAGUUGAGGCAGGCGGAAUUCGUGGUGUAGCGGUGAAAUGCUUAGAUAUCACGAAGAACUCCGAUUGCGAAGGCAGCCUGCUAAGCUGC
This 688-nucleotide ribosomal RNA is filed under the name uncultured Bacteroidales bacterium. RNAcentral's name for it is "bacterial SSU rRNA". It matches the Rfam family "Bacterial small subunit ribosomal RNA", at positions 62 to 737 of the family's 1533-position model. The record is from RNAcentral. Lineage: Bacteria; Pseudomonadati; Bacteroidota; Bacteroidia; Bacteroidales.